RNAcentral lists this small nuclear RNA (116 nucleotides) under Moschus moschiferus (Siberian musk deer). Its description in RNAcentral is "U4 spliceosomal RNA (ENSMMSG00000002555.1)". The stretch from base 1 to 66 matches the Rfam family "U4 spliceosomal RNA". From Rfam's summary of the family: U4 small nuclear RNA (U4 snRNA) is a component of the major U2-dependent spliceosome. The structure of U4 snRNA from yeast and human has been reported. U4 snRNA presents a k-turn RNA motif in the 5p-SL related to recognition of Snu13 protein. Lineage: Eukaryota; Metazoa; Chordata; Mammalia; Artiodactyla; Moschidae. The record is from RNAcentral.
AGCUUUGUGCAGUGGCAGUAUCGUAGCCAAUGAGGUUUAUCCAAGGCGCGAUUAUUGCUAAUUGAGUCUCUACUGGAAAGCAGCAAGAAGGAACUUUCCAGAGUGCUGGUGACAGU